RNAcentral lists this ribosomal RNA (497 nucleotides) under uncultured bacterium. RNAcentral describes it as "partial 16S ribosomal RNA". It matches the Rfam family "Bacterial small subunit ribosomal RNA", at positions 28 to 507 of the family's 1533-position model. The record is from RNAcentral.
GAUGAACGCUGGCGGCGUGCCUAAUACAUGCAAGUCGAGCGAACAGACGAGGAGCUUGCUCCUCUGACGUUAGCGGCGGACGGGUGAGUAACACGUGGAUAACCUACCUAUAAGACUGGGAUAACUUCGGGAAACCGGAGCUAAUACCGGAUAAUAUAUUGAACCGCAUGGUUCAAUAGUGAAAGACGGUUUUGCUGUCACUUAUAGAUGGAUCCGCGCCGCAUUAGCUAGUUGGUAAGGUAACGGCUUACCAAGGCAACGAUGCGUAGCCGACCUGAGAGGGUGAUCGGCCACACUGGAACUGAGACACGGUCCAGGCUCCUAAGGGAGGCAGCAGUAGGGAAUCUUCCGCAGUGGGCGAAAGCCUGACGGAGCAACGCCGCGUGAGUGAUGAAGGUCUUCGGAUCGUAAAACUCUGUUAUUAGGGAAGAACAAAUGUGUAAGUAACUAUGCACGUCUUGACGGUACCUAAUAAGAAAGCCACGGCUAACUACGUG